GAUUGAACGCUGGCGGCAGGCCUAACACAUGCAAGUCGAACGGUAACAGGAAGCAGCUUGCUGCUUUGCUGACGAGUGGCGGACGGGUGAGUAAUGUCUGGGAAACUGCCUGAUGGAGGGGGAUAACUACUGGAAACGGUAGCUAAUACCGCAUAACGUCGCAAGACCAAAGAGGGGGACCUUAGGGCCUCUUGCCAUCGGAUGUGCCCAGAUGGGAUUAGCUAGUAGGUGGGGUAACGGCUCACCUAGGCGACGAUCCCUAGCUGGUCUGAGAGGAUGACCAGCCACACUGGAACUGAGACACGGUUCAGACUCCUACGGGAGGCAGCAGUGGGGAAUAUUGCACAAUGGGCGCAAGCCUGAUGCAGCCAUGCCGCGUGUAUGAAGAAGGCCUUCGGGUUGUAAAGUACUUUCAGCGGGGAGGAAGGGAGUAAAGUUAAUACCUUUGCUCAUUGACGUUACCCGCAGAAGAAGCACCGGCUAACUCCGUGCCAGCAGCCGCGGUAAUACGGAGGGUGCAGGCGUUAAUCGGAAUUACUGGGCGUAAAGCGCACGCAGGCGGUUUGUUAAGUCAGAUGUGAAAUCCCCGGGCUCAACCUGGGAACUGCAUCUGAUACUGGCAAGCUUGAGUCUCGUAGAGGGGGGUAGAAUUCCAGGUGUAGCGGUGAAAUGCGUAGAGAUCUGGAGGAAUACCGGUGGCGAAGGCGGCCCCCUGGACGAAGACUGACGCUCAGGUGCGAAAGCGUGGGGAGCAAACAGGAUUAGAUACCCUGGUAGUCCACGCCGUAAACGAUGUCGACUUGGAGGUUGUGCCCUUGAGGCGUGGCUUCCGGAGCUAACGCGUUAAGUCGACCGCCUGGGGAGUACGGCCGCAAGGUUAAAACUCAAAUGAAUUGACGGGGGCCCGCACAAGCGGUGGAGCAUGUGGUUUAAUUCGAUGCAACGCGAAGAACCUUACCUGGUCUUGACAUCCACGGAAGUUUUCAGAGAUGAGAAUGUGCCUUCGGGAACCGUGAGACAGGUGCUGCAUGGCUGUCGUCAGCUCGUGUUGUGAAAUGUUGGGUUAAGUCCCGCAACGAGCGCAACCCUUAUCCUUUGUUGCCAGCGGUCCGGCCGGGAACUCAAAGGAGACUGCCAGUGAUAAACUGGAGGAAGGUGGGGAUGACGUCAAGUCAUCAUGGCCCUUACGACCAGGGCUACACACGUGCUACAAUGGCGCAUACAAAGAGAAGCGACCUCGCGAGAGCAAGCGGACCUCAUAAAGUGCGUCGUAGUCCGGAUUGGAGUCUGCAACUCGACUCCAUGAAGUCGGAAUCGCUAGUAAUCGUGGAUCAGAAUGCCACGGUGAAUACGUUCCCGGGCCUUGUACACACCGCCCGUCACACCAUGGGAGUGGGUUGCAAAAGAAGUAGGUAGCUUAACCUUCGGGAGGGCGCUUACCAC
RNAcentral lists this ribosomal RNA (1443 nucleotides) under uncultured organism. RNAcentral's name for it is "16S ribosomal RNA". It matches the Rfam family "Bacterial small subunit ribosomal RNA". The record is from RNAcentral.